GCAUUGUAGUUCAGUGGUAGAAUUCUUGCCUUCCAUGCUGGAGACCCAGGUUCAAUUCCCAGCCAACGCA
Molecule: transfer RNA, 70 nt
Filed under: Loxodonta africana (African savanna elephant)
Lineage: Eukaryota; Metazoa; Chordata; Mammalia; Proboscidea; Elephantidae
Rfam family: tRNA
About the family: Transfer RNA (tRNA) molecules are approximately 80 nucleotides in length.
Source: Rfam by way of RNAcentral